Anopheles merus is the source of this 2938-nucleotide long non-coding RNA. RefSeq lists it as uncharacterized. The record is from RefSeq and is a predicted model, not a curated record. Lineage: Eukaryota; Metazoa; Arthropoda; Insecta; Diptera; Culicidae. The transcript has 7 exons.
AACUUGACCUGAUAUCUUUACGGUCCUUGCAUAUACCGCCCGGCAGGCAAUUGACGUUUCAUACUAGGGCGAGGGGUGUUGAAACACAUGGAAGAGCAGCAAGAAACACGGACGAGCGCUGAUGAACUGCAACUGUGUGCGUGCAACAGCACCAAACGGCAUGUGACGACGUACAGUGUGUGUAAUUUUAGGCAGCGAAGAUGGAUCGAGGUUAUGUUUACAAAGUGAAAGAGUUUGAUGCAGAAGUGUCUUUGUGAUAAACAUGUAUUUUAGUUGCAUAUUUUCAGUGUUAAAGUUUGUAAUGUGAACUUAAAAGUAAUGACCAAUGGUGCUAUUCACUUGUAUGCUGUUGGCGAAUAUUGAAGCUUCCUAUUAGUUUGUUGUGCUUAGUGUGAAGCAAAAAUGUGUGCUAAAGUGUUAUAAAUUAGAAAUAUUUAUACGUAUCCGUCUAAUGUUCGGUUGUACCCAUCUUAUUUUCCAUAUUUUUGGAUGUCCUUAUCGUUUACCAGGAGAAAAUGAUAGAUGGAGGUUAGAUACGUGCAGCUAUUUGCCUCCGCAGGAAGAUUUCUUAUCCUUAUUUUUGUUUACUACAACCUUGCAUCGUCGGCGCGGGCCUUAUGGAAACUGCGCGGUCACAGCAACAACCGGAUGAGCAUUUCGUUUCAGGUGGAAAUUAUAUCAAGUUUGGGAAUUGAAGAGAGUUACGGCACACUGCGAACAUCGUUGUAAACAAUCGAUAGUAACAUUUAUAUAGAGCUUAUGAAUGCAUGUGUUUAUCUAAUUAUUCAUUAAUUCGUUUAUUUAUUAAUUUGAGCAUUAGUGCUCCAUCGACAUAUGUUUUUGUUGUUCUUUUAAGUAAAUUGCUCCAACAGCUUAUCCCGGCCUUUCUCGGGUUUAGUUGAUGUUGCUUGACCGCGACGAUUGACACCAGAGUUUGUUAUGGUCGUAUUUUCGUCGUGUAAUCGUGUUAUUGCUGUUAACGCAUUUUGUUUAUAUCUAUUAAGAUGCAAUAGCAUUUUUUAUUUUCCGGAAUAUCGUUAGCGUUGUUCCUCCUCGGUCAAACGGUUGACAGUGGGCAAUAAAGUACAAUAAAUGAUAGGAGCAAAAACGCGAUGGCUGUUAGUGAUUUGCAAAAUGAAACCAACAGCCAUUUUACAUUUUUUAUCUUAAACAAGAAUUGCCCCUGAAAGCUACCAAAGCAAAUGUGUAUUACGUACCACUAGCUGUGUGAUAGGUACAAUAAAAGGUACAAUUUCAUUUUCAUUUAAUUUGUAAAAUUAGAAAAGAUUAGAUAAAAGGUGAUUGAUAAAUAUAGUAUCAAUAGGACAUUACGAUUCAUAAAAAUGGAAAAGCAAUGUGUUUAUCAAUAAAUAAUUUGUCAUAUAUAAACAGCAACUAUAAAUAGGUAGAGCAAUUUAACAAAAUAAAUAAAUGUUUAUUUCUUCCUUCUAUGGCAGCUUGUUUUAACAUUUCCCUGCAUGUUUACUCUUGCCGGUGCAUGUGUUAAUUUUCUUUUAAAACAUUCUUUAUAACAUUCUAUAUCUACGUCUAUUCCCACGUGGUUUGUGGCGAUAAACUUAAAUAAGCACUGUAUUUGGAUAGUUACUAAAAGCUUUUUUUUCCUGACGAUCUUUCCCAGCUACACCGUGCAAGAAAAGUCCUAUCAAACAUCCCGUCUAAAGCCUCCUGUUGUUGGCAUCCUGGCUGCUGAUAUCUGCAUCUAUUAUUUAAGUAUAACUGCAAAAUGCAAAAUCAUCUCCAGCUAUUUUUGCUAAAAAUGCCUCAAACUGUUGUUCAUUUCCGAUUUUUUUAGAUUGCUAAACUCUCCGCAUUUCUUCUUAUACCCUUCAUAGGGUUCAGUAUUGUAGACUGCUCAUUUUAAAUCACCAUUAUCUGUGCGCUGCGUGCAUCUAUUUUCAUCAACAGCAUCUGACAACGAAGGCAGCAGCUUCCAGAAUACUCUGUAGAGGUAAUUGAAAGGACUGCUUGAUUUGCUCAUGCUGCAGCCUGGUGUUCAUCGUCGGUGAUCAUCAUUAUUUGCGACGAAGGCAGCACAGGCAAAUUUAUUAUAACAGGACCAUUUGCUCGUUCAGUCGUUAUGUACGAUGUACCGGCGCUUGUCGAUGACACUUGGUUACCACCAUCAAGUAUCUUGCCUGGCGGACGGAUGCGGCUAGGAACACAGAUCCUCCAGCAUCCGCUAUCACCGAUGCAGAAGCACUGGUGGUUUAUUGUUGACUUACAACAGCGGUCAUCAUACCACGCUGAUUCUUCGGAGCAUGAACUUCGGCAAGCGAUGCAAUCGAUGGUACUGCAGAUCCCGUCAAUGCCUGUUGUCUACCGAUCUUCAUGCCUGAUUCCUGCGGUAGAGCAUCAGCACCCGGUACCACUGAUGGCGCAGCAGUACUAGUUGACGGUUGCUGUCCAUGUUGCUGGCCUAACGGACGGAAUGGUGCAGGAACACCAGCUGUGCUGUGAGAAUUACAGCUGCCGUACGAAGCGCAGCAUAUUGGAGCAAGCCCAAGCGUACAGCAACCACCUGGAGCAAACGUACGCCGAACGAAUGGACGUGGUAGACGCGUUAUGAUUGCAAGGCGAUACUUGCGCUCUGAAAAUGCUAGCACAGAUGUUUGGGCCACAGAGUUUCAGAUAAACCGUUCUCAUCAAUGCCACACCAUGUACGGUCGGUUAGUUACACUUCAUCACGAAGGACAAUCACGUCUGGGUAACGGAAUGCUGCCAAAACGAUGAAGCUGGCUUAGUCCUCGAUGACGACAACCAAUUGUUUGAACAUGUUUAAUGAAACAAACAUGUUGUUUUGGUUUCUCAUAAUUAAUGGUGAAUGCUGCAAAUAUCCGUGAUAAACGUUUUCGUGCGCUGAAUAAGGUUUGUAUGAAAAAUAGUGUAUUUUUAGAACAAUUAAUUUUCAAUAAAGUAA